This 451-nucleotide long non-coding RNA is filed under the name Homo sapiens (human). RNAcentral's name for it is "non-protein coding lnc-TMEM178A-1:22". The record is from RNAcentral. Lineage: Eukaryota; Metazoa; Chordata; Mammalia; Primates; Hominidae.
GAAAUGACCAAAGAUCUGGCAGCAGAAGGGAAAAGAAAAAAUAAUGGGAAGAAGAGGAUUUAUCUGACUCAACUGGAGAUGGCUCCCUUCCCUUAUUUAUUGUUGCAUCCUGAAGCUUCCCCCAUGCUGGGCUCAGUGUGAACAAACAGCGCGGGAGAAUGCAACCACUGCAGAGGCAUAUGUUUGAGAUACCUGGCCACUGGAGGUCAUCUCGUCUACUAUAUUCACCGCAGAUAAAGAAUGAAAAGAGAAUACACAACCUUGUGAUUGCUAGCAGUGAAAGCUCAGAGUUAUGACAUAACAAUUGGUUGGAAAGAACCCAAGGGGACAUGGGCACAGCAUCCCUUCCUGGGCCUCUUCCUCAGGUGGUGCGGGUGGGAAAUCAGGAAGCUCCCAGACAUGGAGCAACUCAGGUGAUCAUGGAACAGAGAGGUAAGGAUUUUGCUUGAAU